GGAUGUGGCUCAGUUUGGUAGAGCAUCUGGUUUGGGACCAGAGGGUCGCAGGUUCAAAUCCUGUCAUCC
RNAcentral lists this transfer RNA (69 nucleotides) under uncultured Treponema sp. It matches the Rfam family "tRNA". From Rfam's summary of the family: Transfer RNA (tRNA) molecules are approximately 80 nucleotides in length. The record is from RNAcentral. Lineage: Bacteria; Pseudomonadati; Spirochaetota; Spirochaetia; Treponematales; Treponemataceae.